This 493-nucleotide long non-coding RNA is filed under the name Citrus x clementina. RNAcentral's name for it is "Citrus clementina (C. clementina) long non-coding RNA (CCLE_LNC005849)". Lineage: Eukaryota; Viridiplantae; Streptophyta; Magnoliopsida; Sapindales; Rutaceae. The record is from RNAcentral.
CCCAACCCCAAAGGCUAUAGCCCACCCGUUUUUGUGGCCUUUUUCCGCUGGACGAACUUGGCGCCCCGGCCUUCGGGUGGUUAUUUUUGGGCGCGGCUGUGCCCGCGACCUAUUUUUGGCACACGGAGGUGCCUCGCAAAGUCUCGCGCCAUUCUGAGUCCGGCGGACGAAAUUGGCCAGCCCCACCCCCCAAGGCUAUAGCCCACCCGUUUUUGUGGCCUUUUUCCGCUGGACGAACUUGGUGCCCCGGCCUUCGGGCGGUUAUUUUUGGGCGCUGCUGUGCCCACAGCCUAUUUUUGGCACACGGAGGCGCCUCGCAAAGUCUCGCGCCAUUCCGAGUCCGGCGGACGAAGUUGGCAUGCCCCACCCCCCAAGGCUAUAGCCCACACGUUUUUGUGCCCUUUUUUCACUGGACCAACUUGGCGCCCCGGCCUUCGGGCGGUUAUUUUUUGGUACGGCUCUGCCCGCGGCCUAUUUUUGGCACAUGGAGGUG